CGGGGAGUGGCGCAGCCUGGUAGCGCGCCUGCUUUGGGAGCAGGAUGUCGCAGGUUCGAAUCCUGUCUCCCCGA
RNAcentral lists this transfer RNA (74 nucleotides) under Acidithiobacillus caldus ATCC 51756. Its description in RNAcentral is "tRNA-Pro". It matches the Rfam family "tRNA". From Rfam's summary of the family: Transfer RNA (tRNA) molecules are approximately 80 nucleotides in length. Their secondary structure includes four short double-helical elements and three loops (D, anti-codon, and T loops). The record is from RNAcentral. Lineage: Bacteria; Pseudomonadati; Pseudomonadota; Acidithiobacillia; Acidithiobacillales; Acidithiobacillaceae.